Molecule: unclassified non-coding RNA, 230 nt
Filed under: plant metagenome
Description: partial contains small subunit ribosomal RNA, internal transcribed spacer 1, and 5.8S ribosomal RNA
Source: RNAcentral
UUUCCGUAGGUGAACCUGCGGAAGGAUCAUUCAUAAUAAAGUGUUUUAUGGCACUUUUUAAAAAUCCAUAUCCACCUUGUGUGCAAUGUUAGAUCUCGUCAAUCUUGGCGAGAUUUUUAUACAUCAACUCAUUCUUUAACUAAUUUGUCUGAAAAAUAUUAUGACUACUUAAUUCUAAAUACAACUUUCGACAACGGAUCUCUUGGCUCUCCCAUCGAUGAAGAACGAGC